CCUACGGGUGGCAGCAGUGGGGAAUAUUGCACAGUGGGGGAAACCCUGAUGCAGCGACGCCGCGUGAGUGAAGAAGUAUUUCGGUAUGUAAAGCUCUAUCAGCAGGGAAGAAAAUGACGGUACCUGACUAAGAAGCCCCGGCUAACUACGUGCCAGCAGCCGCGGUAAUACGUAGGGGGCAAGCGUUAUCCGGAUUUACUGGGUGUAAAGGGAGCGUAGACGGUUAUGCAAGUCUGAAGUGAAAGCCCAAGGCUCAACCAUGGGACUGCUUUGGAAACUGUAAAACUGGAGUGCAGGAGAGGUAAGCGGAAUUCCUAGUGUAGCGGUGAAAUGCGUAGAUAUCAGGAGGAACACCGGCGGCGAAGGCGGCCUGCUGGACUGAAACUGACGUUGAGGCUCGAAGGUGCGGGUAUCAAACAGGAUUAGAUACCCGUGUAGUC
RNAcentral lists this ribosomal RNA (440 nucleotides) under uncultured bacterium. RNAcentral's name for it is "partial 16S ribosomal RNA". It matches the Rfam family "Bacterial small subunit ribosomal RNA", at positions 338 to 795 of the family's 1533-position model. The record is from RNAcentral.